CCCGUUUCUAAGCCUCAUACAAAUAAAUUUCAUAUUUCAAGACACUAUUUACGUAUAUUGUCUAUAUAUAUUACACGGGCACACAUAUCAAUAUAGAAUGUGAGGCUUAUGUUUAAUACACGGCGCAAUAUAAUCCAUUGUUAUAAAGUAUUUCACAUAGAAUGUUAUUUCAAAACUUCUGUCAUAAAAGUAUGCACAAUAUAUAUACAGACUGAAAUCCUUAAAAGCUAAAAAGUUUUCAUAAAAUGGUUUUGUAAUCAGCACGACAUAGCACUAUUAUUUGCUACUGUUAUUCUAGCAGGCAAGCCAAGCCACACAGAUAUUAUAGCGUUGUGUUCGGAUAUACGUCUUACGGGUAUACAGGAACAUAUAUAUUAACUGUUAGAUAUAUACUGUUCCCAGGGGUAUACGCUACAGUUUUGAUCACAUAUUGAAAUUUUUCUGAUAAUUUGC
This 453-nucleotide long non-coding RNA is filed under the name Mytilus galloprovincialis (Mediterranean mussel). The record is from RNAcentral. Lineage: Eukaryota; Metazoa; Mollusca; Bivalvia; Mytilida; Mytilidae.